GACGAACGCUGGCGGCGUGCUUAACACAUGCAAGUCGAACGGAAAGGCCCUGCUUUUGUGGGGUGCUCGAGUGGCGAACGGGUGAGUAACACGUGAGUAACCUGCCCUUGACUUUGGGAUAACUUCAGGAAACUGGGGCUAAUACCGGAUAGGAGCUCCUGCUGCAUGGGGGGGGUUGGAAAGUUUCGGCGGUUGGGGAUGGACUCGCGGCUUAUCAGCUUGUUGGUGGGGUAGUGGCUUACCAAGGCUUUGACGGGUAGCCGGCCUGAGAGGGUGACCGGCCACAUUGGGACUGAGAUACGGCCCAGACUCCUACGGGAGGCAGCAGUGGGGAAUAUUGCACACUGGGCGGAAGCCUGAUGCAGCAACGCCGCGUGCGGGAUGACGGCCUUCGGGUUGUAAACCGCUUUCGCCUGUGACGAAGCGUGAGUGACGGUAAUGGGUAAAGAAGCACCGGCUAACUACGUG
Molecule: ribosomal RNA, 468 nt
Filed under: uncultured bacterium
Lineage: Bacteria
Description: partial 16S ribosomal RNA
Rfam family: Bacterial small subunit ribosomal RNA
Source: RNAcentral